CGUGUAGGCGGCUUUGCAAGUCGGGUGUGAAAGCCCUCGACUCAACCGAGGAAGUGCGCCCGAAACUGCAGAGCUUGAGUACCGGAGAGGAUGGCGGAAUUCCCCAAGUAGAGGUGAAAUUCGUAGAUAUGGGGAGGAACACCGGUGGCGAAGGCGGCCAUCUGGACGGAUACUGACGCUGAGACGCGAAAGCGUGGGGAGCAAACAGGAUUAGAUACCCUGGUAGUCCACGCCGUAAACGAUGAGAACUAGGUGUCGCGGGUGUUGACCCCUGCGGUGCCGUAGCCAACGCAUUAAGUUCUCCGCCUGGGAAGUACGGCCGCAAGGCUAAA
RNAcentral lists this ribosomal RNA (332 nucleotides) under uncultured bacterium. RNAcentral's name for it is "bacterial SSU rRNA". It matches the Rfam family "Bacterial small subunit ribosomal RNA", at positions 568 to 898 of the family's 1533-position model. The record is from RNAcentral.